RNAcentral lists this non-coding RNA (27 nucleotides) under Homo sapiens (human). The record is from RNAcentral. Lineage: Eukaryota; Metazoa; Chordata; Mammalia; Primates; Hominidae.
CAUGAGGAUAAAGGCAGAGAUGAGAGC